Molecule: ribosomal RNA, 570 nt
Filed under: Saccharomyces cerevisiae (brewer's yeast)
Lineage: Eukaryota; Fungi; Ascomycota; Saccharomycetes; Saccharomycetales; Saccharomycetaceae
Description: eukaryotic LSU rRNA
Rfam family: Eukaryotic large subunit ribosomal RNA
Source: RNAcentral
UUGGCCUUUAGUAACGGCGAGUGAAGCGGCAAAAGCUCAAAUUUGAAAUCUGGUACCUUCGGUGCCCGAGUUGUAAUUUGGAGAGGGCAACUUUGGGGCCGUUCCUUGUCUAUGUUCCUUGGAACAGGACGUCAUAGAGGGUGAGAAUCCCGUGUGGCGAGGAGUGCGGUUCUUUGUAAAGUGCCUUCGAAGAGUCGAGUUGUUUGGGAAUGCAGCUCUAAGUGGGUGGUAAAUUCCAUCUAAAGCUAAAUAUUGGCGAGAGACCGAUAGCGAACAAGUACAGUGAUGGAAAGAUGAAAAGAACUUUGAAAAGAGAGUGAAAAAGUACGUGAAAUUGUUGAAAGGGAAGGGCAUUUGAUCAGACAUGGUGUUUUGUGCCCUCUGCUCCUUGUGGGUAGGGGAAUCUCGCAUUUCACUGGGCCAGCAUCAGUUUUGGUGGCAGGAUAAAUCCAUAGGAAUGUAGCUUGCCUCGGUAAGUAUUAUAGCCUGUGGGAAUACUGCCAGCUGGGACUGAGGACUGCGACGUAAGUCAAGGAUGCUGGCAUAAUGGUUAUAUGCCGCCCGUCUUGA